Molecule: ribosomal RNA, 1095 nt
Filed under: Triticum aestivum (bread wheat)
Lineage: Eukaryota; Viridiplantae; Streptophyta; Magnoliopsida; Poales; Poaceae
Description: partial small subunit ribosomal RNA
Source: RNAcentral
AUGGCGUCCCUUCUCUGCUCCCCCGCCUCAAAAUCGCUCUCCGUCACCACCUCCACACUCUUCCUCUCCUCGCUCGCGUCGCUCACCCCCGCCCACACCCAUCCCCUCUCCGCCUCCGCCGCCACCCCGCCCGUCCCGGCCUCCGUGCCACCCACCGGCCUCAUCCCCAACUCCCGCUUCCUCGUCGACGCCUUCCGCCACGCCGGCGACUUCUCCGUCUCCUACUUCCUCUCCCACUUCCACUCCGACCACUACGCCGGCCUCGGGCCCUCCUGGCGCCGUGGCCUCGUCUUCUGCACCGCUCCCACCGCCCGCCUCCUCGCCUCCGUGCUCUCUGUGCCGCCGGAGCUUAUCGUCUCCAUUGACAUUGACGUCCGCAUCACCGUUGAUGGCUGGAGCGUUGUUGCCGUCGAUGCCAACCACUGUCCUGGGGCCGUCCAGUUCCUCUUCACCUCCCCUGGACCAAACCCGGAGAGGUAUGUGCACACUGGCGACUUCCGAUACACGCACUCCAUGAGAAGCAACCCUAAUCUGCUGCAAUUCGUCGGUGCUGAUGCGUUAUUCCUGGACACCACAUACUGUAACCCCAAAUUUACAUUUCCUUCUCAAGAGGAGUCACUGGAGUAUGUUGUCGACACGAUAAAGCAGGUGAAGGAGGAGAGUGGGGCGGCUGGAGAGCGCGUCUUGUGUUUGAUCGCUACUUAUGUUGUGGGCAAAGAGAGGAUUCUGCUGGAGGUUGCAAGGCGCUGCGGGUGCACGAUUCAUGUGGAUAGUAGGAAGAUGGAGAUUUUGACAGUAUUGGGGUUUGGUGGGGAGAAGGGAGUUUUUACUGAAGACGCUUCAGCAACAGAUGUGCAUGUCAUAGGGUGGAAUAUUUUGGGGGAGACAUGGCCCUAUUUUCGGCCGAAUUUUGUGAAAAUGAAGGAGAUCAUGGUGGAGAGAGGGUACACCAAGGCAGUUGGGUUUGUACCAACCGGAUGGAUGUACGAGACCAAGAAGGAAGGGUUCGCAGUUAGAGUGAAGGAUUCACUCAAGAUACAUCUUGUAUAUAGCGAGCACUCGAGCUAUGAUGAGCUGCGGGACUAUGUGAAGUUC